UCUCCCAAACACCUCCCCUCCCCCUCCAUUUGGAGCGGCCCCCCUCAAUGCGGAAAUGUCCCCGCCGCGCAGACAGACAGGAACAACCACCAGUCAGGAGCCGAGGCGGAUGCAGGGCCUAGCCAAUGAGACGCGCGGAGGUGGCAGGAGGCGGGGCGUCUGAGGCUGAGGGGACACCCCCCCUCUCCCCCGGGAGGUGGGCGCAAACAGGACCCUGGGAUCCGCUUGUAGAAGCAGCACCUGCUGCGGCGGGGCAAGGGGUGUUUCACCAGUAAAACUCCCCGGCUUCUACGGAUACUUUAGCAAGGGCGAGAACCUGAAGCACGAGUGGUUAUUUUUGCAGUCCAUAAAAAUGUUCCGGUUUACGAGGGAUUGAAGAUAGCUAAACAGCGGAUAGAGCCAGAACGCUCCACGGCUACUACCUGAGAGAGCCUUUCUCAGUAGAUACAAACUCUCCUCACUACAUCUGGUCUGGGGAGGGUGAAGGUGCGUUCAGGAGUAAGCAGUGGGAAGUGUGGAGUCCACCAACAGAAGGAGGGAUUUAGGGUGUGGAAAAAAAGUGCCAGGUGAAGGCUCUGCCACCAGAACCAGCACGGCCAGUCCCUAUUCCUGUAGAGAGUUAUGCUGUGAUAGACAUUUACUUUAAUGACCAAAGUGGCAAUGGCUUGUUACCCCUCCAGAUGCUUACCUUUACUAUUCUUGAAGUCCACAAGGAAAGAGGAUGUUGCAAGAACGUUGGCAGUGGCGUGUGAACUGCGAGAGGGCCAGCCCAGCGCCCGCUAAAUCACACCUGAUAUUGCCAACACCUGUAAAACUCAGUGGGUGUAUCUCAGACUUCACUUCGUGACUCAGUCAAACUAUGUCAGGACAGAUGAAUUGUCAGCACUCUCUUAGAGGCCUGCAAUAAACCAAGUAAUUCUAGAAGAGUUUGAGGCUUUGGACAACCCUAAUCAACCAAGGACACGAGGACGGCAGCAGUGUUGGCACCAGGACCCUCAACACUUCUGAUGCCCUGAAAGUUGGACCCCUUGCACAUGUCAGCAGCUGCAACAAUGGCAGUGGUACCUUUGGUGGGCAGUGAUGACACGGCUUGGAGGACUGGCAGCAGCUAGCUGCUUGUAUCAGGGAGAGCACAGCCCUCUGAACUUCUGAGAAUUCUCUGAAGAAUUGAAGGGCACAUAGUCAUUGGCAGUGGAGUUUGUGUUAGCUGACUCACCUCUGUGCCUAGACAGACAACACCAAAAUACACACCGAACAACAGUAAGCACCAUCUGCAUAAAAUAUCAGAGAAAGAAAUCUUAAAUCAGCCCCCAAAUCCAGGUCCUCAUUCCCACUUUCGUGUCAAUGAAGAGAACAGAAAUAAGAUAAGCCAAAGAAAUAAGGAGACCAUCAUUGGAACUAUUGGCUUCAGGAGCACAUGCCCGGGAUCAUCUACCAUCACCUGCUACCAUCACCACCACUGCUAACUUCUGAGCUACGCUCUACAGCAGGUCCAUCACUACCAACGAAGCUAGCAAGUUGCCACUAACAUACUGACACAGAAGAAGCCAGUGCUUUGCUGCCUGACUGUGCUUUCUAGCAGAAAGGAUCAAAAGAAGCAACAGAAUGGCUUUUACCUCACUCACUUCUACCUCCCAAAUCGUGCAUAAGUGCAUCUGAUUAGCAAAAGCUAAAUAAUACAGGAUCCCAUUUGGGAAAAGUUGUUUUUAGCUUUCUAGUCUCUGCAGUACAAGAUGAUACAUUAAAAGGUGGUGGGGUGAAUAUUUAGAGAGCCAAUUGACCUUAUCCACCAUACAGGUACUAUAUAUAGGUUGGCUUGCUUCACGUUAAUUCCCAACCCCCUUCCCUUUUGCUUUCCUCUACGAUAGAGGCUGGAAAGAUAAAUGCUCUAUCAUUUCCCAGUCUCUCUUGUAACUGGAGGUGCCCUUGUGAAACAGUUCUGGCCAGUAAGAUGUAGGCAGAAGUUUGCUAAGCAGAUUCUGGAAAGCAUUGCUUUCCCCCUAAAGAGAAACAAAACAGCUGAUGAAGCUUUUUUUUUUUCUUCCCAUUUCUUCCUUCCUAAAAUGGGAAUGUGAUGCCUGGAGUUAUGGCUAUUAACAGAGAAAAC
This is a long non-coding RNA of Leopardus geoffroyi (Geoffroy's cat), 2107 nucleotides long. RefSeq lists it as uncharacterized. NCBI's taxonomy places the organism in Eukaryota, Metazoa, Chordata, Mammalia, Carnivora, Felidae. The record is from RefSeq and is a predicted model, not a curated record. The transcript has 5 exons.